Molecule: ribosomal RNA, 454 nt
Filed under: uncultured bacterium
Lineage: Bacteria
Description: bacterial SSU rRNA
Rfam family: Bacterial small subunit ribosomal RNA
Source: RNAcentral
AACGAACGCUGGCGGCGUGGAUAAGACAUGCAAGUCGAACGCUAAUACAAAGGUAGCAAUAUCGUUGUGUUGGAGUGGCGAAAGGGUGAUUAACACGUGGGCAAGUUACCGCGAGAUCUAGGAUAACCUGCUGAAAGGCAGGCUAAUACUGGAUAACACCUUGGAUCGGCAUCGAUUCAAGUUUAAAGUUGGGGCUCCGCAAGGACCUGACGACUCGCGAUACGCCCGCGUCCUAUCAGCUAGUUGGCGGGGUAAAAGCCCACCAAGGCUAAGACGGGUAGCUGGUCUAAGAGGACGACCAGCCACACUGGAACUGAGACACGGUCCAGACACCUACGGGUGGCAGCAGUCGAGUAAUUUUUCACAAGUGGGACGAAAGCCUGAUGGAGCGACGCCGCGGUGGGGGAUGAAUGGUCGUUCGGGGUACGUAAACGCCCUGUCGCGAGGGGAAGAA